Molecule: ribosomal RNA, 497 nt
Filed under: uncultured bacterium
Lineage: Bacteria
Description: partial 16S ribosomal RNA
Rfam family: Bacterial small subunit ribosomal RNA
Source: RNAcentral
GACGAACGCUGGCGGCGUGCCUAAUACAUGCAAGUUGAGCGAUGAAGAUUGGUGCUUGCACCAAUUUGAAGAGCAGCGAACGGGUGAGUAACGCGUGGGGAAUCUGCCUUUGAGCGGGGGACAACAUUUGGAAACGAAUGCUAAUACCGCAUAACAACUUUAAACAUAAGUUUUAAGUUUGAAAGAUGCAAUUGCAUCACUCAAAGAUGAUCCCGCGUUGUAUUAGCUAGUUGGUGUGGUAAAGGCUCACCAAGGCGAUGAUACAUAGCCGACCUGAGAGGGUGAUAGGCCACAUUGGGACUGAGACACGGCCCAAACUCCUACGGGAGGCAGCAGUAGGGAAUCUUCGGCAAUGGACGAAAGUCUGACCGAGCAACGCCGCGUGAGUGAAGAAGGUUUUCGGAUCGUAAAACUCUGUUGGUAGAGAAGAACGUUGGUGAGAGUGGAAAGCUCAUCAAGUGACGGUAACUACCCAGAAAGGGACGGCUAACUACGUG